UUAUACAAGACUCAGCUGAGUCCACUCAAAUUCAGCUAUGUUACGGUGCUACCUGACUCGGUCCACGGCGAAGUCCAAGGCUUUAGCCGAUUUUCAAAACAUCGGUGUAUAUGCCUUGUAAAAAUUUAGCACUCCUUCCUAACUCCUGUAACUAAUGUAUUUUUUAAUAAUAAAAAACCAUCAUUGAGAAUAAAAAAUAUCUAAUAUGACAAUUCAUUUUUAUAGUAUAAAUGCGAAUAAACUUUAUUUGUUAGGUGCUUGCAGCAUUAUAAAUUAUCUCUCAGAACCAUUGAAUUUAAAUUAUUUGAAUUUUGGAAAGUGAGAUAGCCCCACAAGGAUAGAGAGUUCAU
RNAcentral lists this long non-coding RNA (350 nucleotides) under Amborella trichopoda. RNAcentral describes it as "long non-coding RNA (ATRI_LNC000192)". The record is from RNAcentral. Lineage: Eukaryota; Viridiplantae; Streptophyta; Magnoliopsida; Amborellales; Amborellaceae.